UUUAAAAGGAUCCAAUGGAUGCGAUGGAUCCAAUGGAUGCGAUGGAUAAAUAGAAUAUCUAUUUAUCCAUCGCAUCCUUUGGAUCCAUCGCAUCCAUUGGAUCCUUUUAA
Molecule: non-coding RNA, 110 nt
Organism: Paramuricea clavata
Lineage: Eukaryota; Metazoa; Cnidaria; Anthozoa; Malacalcyonacea; Plexauridae
Source: the annotation of a GenBank genome assembly